This 135-nucleotide small RNA is filed under the name Sulfobacillus acidophilus. Its description in RNAcentral is "c-di-AMP sequence". It matches the Rfam family "c-di-AMP riboswitch aptamer (ydaO/yuaA leader)". From Rfam's summary of the family: This family represents a conserved RNA structure found upstream of the ydaO and yuaA genes in Bacillus subtilis and related genes in other bacteria. The ydaO/yuaA element is thought to act as a genetic "off" switch for the ydaO and yuaA genes in its native state. RNAcentral also lists the same sequence under 1 other name. The record is from RNAcentral. Lineage: Bacteria; Bacillati; Bacillota; Clostridia; Eubacteriales; Clostridiales Family XVII. Incertae Sedis.
GACUCCUUUACGCCGAAUCGCGGCCGGGCGCCGCGUACGGGGGACUUCGAGCACAUCGGGGUGAAUCGGCGUUUGCCGUAGGGCACCUUCUGUCCGAACCCGCAACUAACCUCGGAGGCAAUUUAUGAAGGAAGG